This 267-nucleotide unclassified non-coding RNA is filed under the name Hevea brasiliensis (rubber tree). Lineage: Eukaryota; Viridiplantae; Streptophyta; Magnoliopsida; Malpighiales; Euphorbiaceae. The record is from RNAcentral.
AAAAGGCCGGCAGUGAUUGCCAGCCUUUCGAUUUUGGAAUUAGCGGCUUUACCACGCGGUCGUGAUCGUUCCGUUGAAUUUCUUUUCUGUGGAGUCCUUGACCGCAGGGGAGCGAUAGAGUUCGACGAACCGCUUGAGGGGGGGGUGUCCUUGUUCUUGGCGCGCACCGCAAAUACCAGAUUCCAGUUGGUAUCCGCACCCUCAAGAAGGAGCGCCUUCUUCGGAUCGAGUCCGGCAUUGAGGGCAUAGUUAAGAUUGACUGCCGAG